AACAGCAUGAGCCCUUACAAAAAUGAAUCAUUUCUUCUUUUAGUAGUAUAACGUUAGUUUCAUGGCGUAUUGAUUGCCAUAUUGCUUUAACCAUGCUUUCUGUAACAGACAAUGUUUUUUGGUUUAAAGUGUAGUAAAAACCGUUUUUUAACUUUUGUUAGGGAUGCAACCGGCUGCUUUUUGCUCCAAAUAUUUUAUUUUGGCGGUGUUAUAGACACAGAGCUGUAAUAUAAAUGUGAUUCUGAAUGUAAAUGUCUUAAGAAAUGACUCGAUGGCAUUUUAUUGUCGUCUUACUUCAGUAUAAUCCCUGAUUAAGCGCUGCACGUCUACUACUGUAUACUGUAACCCUGGUAACGGUUGAAUUUGCAAUUCAGCGCCAUCUACUGUCAAAGUAGAGUAUUUAUUCAGCGUGCCAGAUGUGUUUGCUUUGAGAUUUAAUUAAUUAUUAUUUUCUUUAAAUGUAGACAUUCUUGGAGAUGUUGCAUUAAAAACCUUACAAAAUGGCCAGCAAGAUGAUUCAGCCUUCCUACAGUACCAAGAGGCAAAGCAAACAUUUAUUAAUUUGCAACCUGCCAGAAAACAAACAUAAUUCAGUAUUUGGAGGAGGAAGUGUGACGAAGACCCCAUGUCCUCCUAUGGGAUGAAUUCGACUAAUCACAAGCCUUUGUUAUCGUGGGGAGGCAUGCAUGGCCCAGGAGCAAGACCAGCAGUUGACAUGUGCUUUAAUUUUUUUUUUUUUUACAUUUUAUACAGAGUAUCCCAAGCCUUUCACUACUGUUAAGUAGUUUCUGUAACACACAAUACAUUUUGUAUCAUGUGAUGUUUCCUGAACACACUGUCACCUGCUUAAAGGGACAGUUCCCCCAAAAAUGAAAAUUGUCAUAAUUUUCUUCCACUCCUGUCGUUACAAACCUGUACACAUUUUUUUGUUCUGAUGACCACAAAGGAAGAUAUUUUGAGUAAUGUUUAAACCAAACAGAUCAUGAGCCCCAUUGACUGUCAUAGUAGGAAAAAAGAAUACUAUGAAAAUGAAUGGGGCUCAUGAUCGGUUUGAUUUCAAACAUUCUUUGAAAUAUGUGGUUAUCAAAGUAAAGACUUAUAUACAGGUUUAUAACAACAUGAGAGGGAGAAAAUUAUGACAAAAUGUGUGAACUAUGCUUUUAAGCAGUUUGUAGUUGGAUAAGAUUGAGUAGAUUUGUUUUGUUCUUAUGUUUUUGUUUAUUUAUGUAUGUAUAUAUUUAUGUAUGUGUGUAUGUAUUUAUGCUUCUAUACAUGUCUGUAUUUAUACAUUUAAAUGCAGGUGCAAAUGACUAAAUGAAAAUAAAGCAUUAUAAAUGUA
Molecule: long non-coding RNA, 1339 nt
Organism: Paramisgurnus dabryanus
Lineage: Eukaryota; Metazoa; Chordata; Actinopteri; Cypriniformes; Cobitidae
Source: RefSeq, a predicted model, not a curated record